CAUCGCGAGGUGGAAUCUGAAGGAAGCCGGAUUGCGGAGGCAGGAAGCCGAAGCAGGGCAAAACUCUGACCCGACGAACAGAAAUCAUGUAAGGCUGUAAGCGAGGGUAAGGCUGCAUGACAAGCCAAAGCCAGAUAACCGCACGGAAUCGCUUGCAGUAGACAUGGCGGGUAUAAGAGGGAAAGAACG
This 189-nucleotide non-coding RNA is filed under the name bovine gut metagenome. The record is from RNAcentral.